This 776-nucleotide ribosomal RNA is filed under the name uncultured Neocallimastigales. Its description in RNAcentral is "partial large subunit ribosomal RNA". It matches the Rfam family "Eukaryotic large subunit ribosomal RNA", at positions 24 to 643 of the family's 3401-position model. Lineage: Eukaryota; Fungi; Neocallimastigomycota; Neocallimastigomycetes; Neocallimastigales. The record is from RNAcentral.
AUCUCUGUAGAGUCUGCAUAUCAAUAAGCGGAGGAAAAGAAACUAACUAGGAUUCCCUUAGUAACGGCGAGUGAAGCGGGAAGAGCUCAAAUUUGAAAUCUUCAAGGUUUUACCUUGACGAAUUGUAGUUUAAAGAAGUGUUUUCUGUUGGAGUUUUGGUAAAAGUUCUUUGGAAUAGGACAUCAUAGAGGGUGAGAAUCCCGUAUUUGACCAUUAUUUCCAGCUUUGUGAUACACUUUCAAAGAGUCGGAUUGUUUGGGAAUGCAGUCCAAGAUGGGUGGUAAAUUUCAUCUAAAGCUAAAUAUUGGCGAGAGACCGAUAGCGAACAAGUACCGUGAGGGAAAGAUGAAAAGAACUUUGAAAAGAGAGUUAAACAGUACGUGAAAUUGUCAAAAGGGAAGCGUUUGACACCAGUGUUGUUUUUCUCGAAAAUCAAUUAAGAAUGGCAUGAUUUUGUGUUGUAUUGACUUUAUCAGCUUUCUUCACUCUUUUCUUGUCUUUUUUUAAUGCACUUUUCGUUUAACAAGUCAACAUCAAUUUCUUUUGUUGUAAAAGGGUCAUUGGAAGGUGGCUUUCUUUUCGGAGAAAGUGUUUAUAGCCUUUGGCCUCUGCAAUCGGAGAGAUUGAGGUCUGCAGCGUAGAUCCUUCUGGAUUAGAUACAUUUGUGCUAAGUUAUAACCGUUUCAUAGACAACUUGUUGACUAUGAUCGAUCAUGUAGCUUACUCGCUUAUGCUAUUUUACCUACGCUUAGGAUGUUGAAGAUGUAGCACAUCAU